GACGAACGCUGGCGGCGUGCUUAACACAUGCAAGUCGAACGGAAAGGCCCUGCUUUUGUGGGGUGCUCGAGUGGCGAACGGGUGAGUAACACGUGAGUAACCUGCCCUUGACUUUGGGAUAACUUCAGGAAACUGGGGCUAAUACCGGAUAGGAGCUCCUGCUGCAUGGUGGGGGUUGGAAAGUUUCGGCGGUUGGGGAUGGACUCGCGGCUUAUCAGCUUGUUGGUGGGGUAGUGGCUUGCCAAGGCUUUGACGGGUAGCCGGCCUGAGAGGGUGACCGGCCACAUUGGGACUGAGAUACGGCCCAGACUCCUACGGGAGGCAGCAGUGGGGAAUAUUGCACAAUGGGCGGAAGCCUGAUGCAGCAACGCCGCGUGCGGGAUGACGGCCUUCGGGUUGUAAACCGCUUUCGCCUGUGACGAAGCGUGAGUGGCGGUAAUGGGUAAAGAAGCACCGGCUAACUACGUG
This 468-nucleotide ribosomal RNA is filed under the name uncultured bacterium. Its description in RNAcentral is "partial 16S ribosomal RNA". It matches the Rfam family "Bacterial small subunit ribosomal RNA", at positions 28 to 507 of the family's 1533-position model. The record is from RNAcentral.